UAGGGAAUCUUCGGCAAUGGGGGCAACCCUGACCGAGCAACGCCGCGUGAGUGAAGAAGGUUUUCGGAUCGUAAAGCUCUGUUGUAAGAGAAGAACGUGUGUGAGAGUGGUAAGUUCACACAGUGACGGUAACUUACCAGAAAGGGACGGCUAACUACGUGCCAGCAGCCGCGGUAAUACGUAGGUCCCGAGCGUUGUCCGGAUUUAUUGGGCGUAAAGCGAGCGCAGGCGGUUUAAUAAGUCUGAAGUUAAAGGCAGUGGCUUAACCAUUGUUCGCUUUGGAAAAUGGUAAACUUGAGUGCAGAAGGGGAGAGUGGAAUUCCAUGUGUAGCGGUGAAAUGCGUAGAUAUAUGGAGGAACACCGGUGGCGAAAGCGGCUCUCUGGUCUGUAACUGACGCUGAGGCUCGAAAGCGUGGGGAGCAAACAGG
This 429-nucleotide ribosomal RNA is filed under the name bacterium. RNAcentral describes it as "partial 16S ribosomal RNA". It matches the Rfam family "Bacterial small subunit ribosomal RNA", at positions 355 to 776 of the family's 1533-position model. The record is from RNAcentral.